UUAAUUUGAUCCAUGAUGACACCGACAAACUUUCCCCAUUCGUCAAGAACUGAACAAAUGAGAGAUCAUGGAAACUAGAAACCGAGACAGCAUCUCUCUGACUCUGUCUCAUGGCAUGGAAAUCACUUUCGUCAAAACCUCUGUAAUUUCACUAAUACUCCUCUUCACACUCCUCUUCUUCCUAAUCUCUCCGCCCCAUCAUGAUGAAAACCUCAGAAAACCCUUGGAAACAUCAUUAAUUCCACACAGGUCCCUUUUGAAUUCAUCUUCUUCAAUCUCAUCAUGUUCAUCAAUUCUUGAAAUCCCAAUACAAGAACGUUGUUCUUUCUCAUUAAUUCAUUGUAAUGGCGAUUCAAAUGGUCUUUUUAAUUACUCAUCACUACAUUUCUGUAUCUUUAGAGAAAACCCAUUCUUUACAAUCCCUAUUCUUUCAUGUAUUCUUCUUCUGCAAUUCUAUUUCUUAGUUAAAACUGCUCAAGAUAGAUUCUCUAUCGUUGUUACUAAACUGACAAAGUACCUUGAUCUUUCACCCAGUAUGGGUGCUGUUACACUCCUCGCUUUAGGUAAUGGGGCACCAGAUGUAUUUGCAUCAGUAGCUGCAGUUCGAGGUGGUCAUGCAAGAACUGGUCUUGGUGCUAUUCUAUCUGCUGGGACUUUUGUUUCUGCAUUUGUUGUUGGUUUUGUUACUAUAUAUGCUGCGCCUUUUAAUGUGGAUGCAUCUUCAUUUGUUAGAGAUGUUUUCUUCUAUUUGAUUGCGGCGUUUACUUUGUUUUAUGUAUAUUUGAGUGCUGAGAUAUAUCUUUGGCAAGCUAUUGGGUUUGUGGGGUUUUAUGUUUUCUUUGUUGGGUUUGUGUUUUAUAUGGAUGUUGUUAAAGUCGAUGAAAAAGUAGGGAAAGAUGGUGGUGGAGAUAGUUUAGAAAUGAGUAAAUUGUUGAAUGAAGAUUUGAAGGGUUUUAAUAAAGUUGUGGAUUAUGAGAAGGGUGAUGAACAAGUUCUUUAUGUCGAGGAGGAAAAGAAGACGGGGUUUUGUGGAGUUCUUGAAAAGAUAUCAAAAAUUUGGGAGUUUCCAGUCUCAACUCUCUUGAACCUCACGAUCCCACAAACAAACCCUUCUGAGUGGAGUAGAUUUUACAUCUCAGCUAAUAUCGCACUGUGUCCGCUCGCUCUUUUAUACUCCUGCAAUUCAUUCAUCCCAUUUGACCACGGUAUCAUUUUCCUCCUUCCACAUACCCGGUUGCCUCUCUGGUCAGUCAUCCUCUUCAUAUGCUCCAUACUUGCCCUGCUUCAUUACAUCUUUGAGACGGAGCCUCCAGAAUCUGAGCAGAUACCAGCGGUAGUCAUCGCAUUUAUGAUGAGUGUAUUUUGGAUAUCCACAAUAGCAGGAGAACUCCUAGAUUGUCUGGCAGCAUUUGGAACCAUUCUAGAAUUACCUCCAGCACUUCUUGGGCUUACAGUACUUGCAUGGGGUAACUCAGUUGGGGACCUUGUUGCUGAUGUGGCCGUAGCAAAGGCGGGAAAUCCUGCAAUGGCAAUGGCAGGUUGCUUUGCAGGACCCAUGUUUAAUAUGCUUGUUGGACUGGGAACAGGGUUGGUGAUUCAAACAGUUGAUGUUUAUCCGUUGGCAUAUAAGAUUCAGUUCCACUUGAGUAUCGUCAUUGCGUUUGUGUUCUUGUUGUUGAGCUUAAUGGGUUCGUUAUUGGUUAUAACAUGGUCGAGAUUCCGAGUUCCGAGGUUUUGGGGAUUCUGCCUUGUUAGUCUCUAUAUUGUUUUCACUAUAGUAAGUUUGGUCAUUGCUACAUUUUCAAAGUAAACAUUUCUGGCGGAAGGGUUAAUACGAACUGUUUUUAUUUGUUCGUUCUCCACCCCAUUCAGUGACUCACUGGUUCAUCAUAGCAGUACCCUUCAGUUAUUAGUGUAAGUGUAGAAAUGGUUAGAGAAAGUGUGGAGGAUUCUUAAGUGAACCAAUUUGGGUCUGUUCACCUGCAUCCAUUUGGGGUACGAUCAGUUCUCUGUGUUCGGGGGAUAUGAAAGAGAUCAACAUAUGCGGUAGCUGAGAUUUCGGGUUUCUUGUCAUCCUUGCAAAGUCCAGAAAUGUGCGCAGCCAGACUUGGCUUGGCAACAGGAGAAACCAUUCUUGCCGAUGAUCAGUUCAAGGAUCCCAUCCGACAAUGCCUAUGAACCUUUCGACUGCUUCUCCUUCUGCCUUGCUUUCAAAUCUGCGACACAGUUCUUCAUCACUUUUCUGCUAUUGGCAUAUUAUUAUUGCUUAUAAAUUAUUCCAUUUAUGUUUUGACAAGAAUUUUUUUAUAGACAAACAAACUAUCACAUACCAAAAUCAGCUUGUAAUUCCGAUUGAACUGAGGUGGGUGUUUAGAGUCUGUAGACCACCCGACCAUACACAUGUAUACUAAAUUAUUUACCCUUGCA
This is an RNA transcript of Papaver somniferum (opium poppy), 2427 nucleotides long. It is a transcript of the gene named cation/calcium exchanger 5-like, with no coding region annotated. NCBI's taxonomy places the organism in Eukaryota, Viridiplantae, Streptophyta, Magnoliopsida, Ranunculales, Papaveraceae. The record is from RefSeq and is a predicted model, not a curated record. The transcript has 4 exons.